CCCGUGCAGGCCUCCCUCCGGCUGGGGGCGGCAGUAGCAGCGCGGGGCACAGCGCAGGGCUCGGGUGGUGGCAGAGGGCUUUGGCUACCUGAUGCUGCCUUGCGGCUCCACGUCGCUCUCAGCACUUCAUGUUGUUUCUAGAGGCAUUAGCUUACGUCGCCAGCAGUUUAAUUCGAGGAGUGCAGUGCUGGCGGUUAAGUGAAUCUGAUCUCUGACCUGAAAGCAGUAAUCGUUGGCAGCGUUUACUUAACUUAAAGCGUCAUUUGAGGGAUGAGAGAGUAUCAGCCUUUGCUUUGGUCACCAGAGGUGGCUGAGUGCUGUCAGUGGCCUCACUUCGGUGCUGAGUGGUGCAGCUGAGGCUGCUGCCUGCUGCCCGGAGUGGGCUUACAGCGGGUCUCAUUGGGGUACUCGCCUCCUCACAGGCUGCUCAUCAGGCCUCUGAAGUAGUGACAGAUGAGGCGCCUGAGGAGACUUGCUUUUGCUGAUAAGCCACUUUGAUUGGCAAGUGCGUGUCCUAAUUCUGAAGAUAAAUUACUGCUUUUCCCAGAGGGGGACUUGGCUGGUGCUGCACUGUGACCCUGAGUAUGCCCUUUUUGCACAGCAGGGCAGCCCCGGGUGUCUCAGUGGGAGUGCUGUGCCGGGGCUGUAGCACAGGGGCUGACCUUGAGUUCAGCCUGUAGGGAAACCCCUCAGUCAGUGCUGCAGAGCACAGCCCACAAAGGGCUUAGAGGCUGUGUAAUUUGCUGUACCCUGCUGGGAUAUUCCUCUCCCCAGGGGAGGCUGUUAGGAGCAGCCUAAUCCUGCAAUCAGUCAUUCUUCAUUCUGGAACUCUUCUGUUGGUGGAUUACAACAGUAGAAUGCUCUGGAGAAUAAAACCUUUUUUUUCUUCUCUUCCUUGUUCUAGGCAACAAAAGCAGUUAAGAGAUGAGUUGGUUUCUGGCUUCUGGAAUCUUCAGGCUGAGCUCUGUGCUGUUACCUUGCAAGCAGGAAGAUGUCACAUGAAUUCUGACAGAUGUUGAGAACAGUGUGAAAUGUGGAUUUCUAAUGCACCUGGAAAUGCUUUCCUGGCCCUUCCUGCUUCCCAGAAGCACUGCUUGAUUCUAAUAUGCUCGGGGUGAAGUCCUGUGACUUCUAAUGCCAUGCUGAAAGGAAGAAGUCAAGUAAGAUGGAGUUAGAGUUUAGAUGAAAAUGUGAAUAAUGCCUGAAUGAAGUUCAAGUGAGAGUGUGGCUGAGAAGUAGCCCUUCAGAUGCUGUUAGAACUCAGUAUGAAUAUUUAAGUUCAUAGUUAAUAUUCAUAUAGUUAAUAUUGCAAACAAAAUUUGAUUACAGGAUUAAAACACAUAGGAAAACUUGUUUUCUUGUCUAAAUUAGUGUUUAUAAUAAUGCUGGAAGCUGUUCUGCUCACUUUCAAUGCAGUAUUUGUAUAAAUAAAAUCUUGGAUUUGUAAUUCCAA
RNAcentral lists this long non-coding RNA (1453 nucleotides) under Gallus gallus (chicken). RNAcentral's name for it is "lncRNA (ENSGALG00010004979.1)". The record is from RNAcentral. Lineage: Eukaryota; Metazoa; Chordata; Aves; Galliformes; Phasianidae.